Citrus sinensis (sweet orange) is the source of this 107-nucleotide non-coding RNA. The record is from Rfam. Lineage: Eukaryota; Viridiplantae; Streptophyta; Magnoliopsida; Sapindales; Rutaceae.
CGUGUUUCUGGAGACAUUCGAUUCGAUAAAAUUGGAACGAUAGAGAAAAUUAGCAUGGCCCCUGCGCAAGGAUGACAUGCACAAUUUGAGAAAUGGUCGAAUUUUUU